AGGGUGACCUCUAAUCUGAAGUAAGCUGGAUAUGAGGGAGAUACUAACUCAUGGGCAAAUAUCUGGUCUGACGAACAGAAAUUUCAUAUGAGGUUAUGCAUGAGGACAAGGCUGCAAAAGAAGUCAAAGUCCAGUAACUACACGCGAUCUGACAAGAGAAAUGAGGUAGAUAGAUGGAGAGGAAGAAA
This 188-nucleotide non-coding RNA is filed under the name uncultured Catonella sp. The record is from RNAcentral. Lineage: Bacteria; Bacillati; Bacillota; Clostridia; Lachnospirales; Lachnospiraceae.